RNAcentral lists this ribosomal RNA (104 nucleotides) under uncultured bacterium. Its description in RNAcentral is "partial 16S ribosomal RNA". It matches the Rfam family "Bacterial small subunit ribosomal RNA", at positions 1379 to 1482 of the family's 1533-position model. The record is from RNAcentral.
CCUUGUACACACCGCCCGUCAAACCACGAAAGUUGUCUACACCAGAAGCGGAUGAGCUAACCGUAAGGAGGCAGUCUGCCAAGGUUUAGGCGAUGAUUGGGGUU